AACAAAUAUACGGGUGCCCCCGUACUGAUGAGGCCAUGGCAGGCCGAAAUUUGUG
Molecule: non-coding RNA, 55 nt
Organism: Folsomia candida
Lineage: Eukaryota; Metazoa; Arthropoda; Collembola; Entomobryomorpha; Isotomidae
Source: Rfam